Long non-coding RNA from Bombyx mori (domestic silkworm), 1201 nucleotides. RefSeq lists it as uncharacterized. Lineage: Eukaryota; Metazoa; Arthropoda; Insecta; Lepidoptera; Bombycidae. The record is from RefSeq and is a predicted model, not a curated record. The transcript has 2 exons.
UAAUAAUGUUUUUAAUAACAUCUUGUAUACCAAUUUGAAGAUUUCGAUUAAAUCAAUAAGGCUCUCAAAGUUAGGACUAUCUCAAACGUACCAUUAAAUAUGACCAGCAAUUUUCAACUUUAUCUUUACUUUUCAUUAUGAUUUAAUUAUCUUUCAAAGUUUAGGAAAUGAACCCAUCAUCGGUAAAACACUUUUCAAUAACCUUUUUUUUCCCCUACCUUUUCUAGUCGCCUUGAGGGGGGAACCUAGCGAAAUUGCCACGGAAUAGAUAAAUAAGGUUGGAAUGGUAAUGUAGGCGGGGCAAGCGUGCCACAGUUAUGAUAGAACAAACAUAACUCGACCGAUUCUUUCAUUCACCGCGUUUAGUGCGCUUCGGACUACUUGGCGAACAGAUCUCCGCUUUAUAGUGCCGUGUUGUGCAAUUAUAACUUGUAAAACAAAAAAUCAGACCUCAAGUAUAGAGCGAGGAGGUAUAUCUUUCGAUCGCAAGUUAUAAAUAGCAUACAUUGCGCGAUGUGUACUCGCCCAAUGAACGCAAUGACCAAGUCAGCUUCCAAUGUACUACAUGCAUUGCGUUCUCUACACUUCAAUCUUUGAAAUUUCGGCCUUUGCCCUGAUUGGCCGUGCAGUUUGUCGAUAGUGAGGUGACCAUGUGGUAAAAUUAUCGACAGAAUUCUCGACUAUAUUUACAUUUGACAUGGAUAAUUUUUGCAUUAUUUUAUAUUUAAUUAAUGAUACCUAGUAUAUUCUUAGUGAGACGUAUUUUGAGUAAAAUAAAUAUGUAUUAUUAUUAUUGAAUUAUUAUCAUUGAAUUAAAGUGAAGGUAUAAUAUAAAGGGACAUGUAGACCUCUAAUUUACGGGUAUUUACUAUAUUGUCUAAGACGUAUUAAAAUCUAAGUAAAAUGCUAUUUGACUUAUGCAGUAAAUUAAAAAUUUUAGGUUUCCUAAAGAACCUAACGCCAGGGAACAAUGGAUUGACGUGACAGGUAGAGGAAACUGGAGACAAAGACGAGUACUAUUUGCUCUAAACAUUUUACUGAAAAUGAUUUUAUCAUAAAAAAAAUCAGAAUACACUUAGUUUUGAAAAAUUCAUUCGCAAUUAAUAGCAAGCGCCAACUGCUUAACAAAUACGUUUUAUUCCAGCGACAGUGACUAUUUGUAAUUAAUAAAAGUAAAAUAGUUUUUUUUUUUCAAUAUUUA